AUUGAACGCUGGCGGCAGGCCUAACACAUGCAAGUCGAACGGUAACAGGAAGAAGCUUGCUUCUUUGCUGACGAGUGGCGGACGGGUGAGUAAUGUCUGGGAAACUGCCUGAUGGAGGGGGAUAACUACUGGAAACGGUAGCUAAUACCGCAUAACGUCGCAAGCCCAAAAAGGGUGACCUUCUGGCCUCUUGCCAUCGGAUGUGCCCAGAUGGGAUUAGCUAGUAGGUUGGGUAACGGCUCACCUAGGCGACGAUCCCUAGCUGGUCUGAGAGGAUGACCAGCCACACUGGAACUGAGACACGGUCCAGACUCCUACGGGAGGCAGCAGUGGGGAAUAUUGCACAAUGGGCGCAAGCCUGAUGCAGCCAUGCCGCGUGUAUGAAGAAGGACUUCGGGUUGUAAAGUACUUUCAGCGGGGAGGAAGGGAGUAAAGUUAAUACCUUUGCUCAUUGACGUUACCCGCAGAAGAAGCACCGGCUAACUCCGUG
RNAcentral lists this ribosomal RNA (490 nucleotides) under uncultured bacterium. RNAcentral's name for it is "partial 16S ribosomal RNA". It matches the Rfam family "Bacterial small subunit ribosomal RNA", at positions 30 to 507 of the family's 1533-position model. The record is from RNAcentral.